UGCCUCUGGUUGCCCAGGAGGGGAAAGCCAUGCAGCGCGCAGAGGCCGGAAAGCCUUUAAUUAAAUUCAACCACUGUAGGAAAUACAUCUACAGCUUCAGUGUGCCGCGAUGCUGCCCCCUCUGCCGGCAGGAUGUGGGCUCCAGGAAGCUGGAGGAAGCACCUGUUAGCAUCUCCAAUCCUUUUACCAAUGGGCAUCAAGAAAAAUGUUCAUUCCUCCUCAGACCAACUCAAGGGACGUUUCUUAGGGAGUAUGAUGGAAAUUCUGAUCUUCAUGUUGGAAUAACCAACACAAAUGGAGUUGUCUAUAAUUACACCAUUCACGGUGUCCAGCGAGACGAGGCAGGCUGGGAGCAGAGUAUAAGUAUCCCAUUAUUGCAGCCUGGCAUGUUUGGACUGAUGGACCAGUGGGACAAAUACCUGGAAGACUUCUCCAUCACAGGGGCCUGGCUGCCUCACAGGUAUGAAGAAAACUGCCACAACUGUUACAGUUACACCCUUACAUUUAUUAACUGCAUUCUGACCACUGAAGGUAAGGAGCAACUGGACAAGUAUGAGUUCACGGAGAAAUUCGUGGUCCCAAGGACCAGGAAGGCUUCUAAGUACAUCACACUUUACCGGGCAAUAGAAGAGCGUGGCUUCUACGUGAUCGACCACCCGGGCCAAGAGCCAAGCCCUCCUCCAGGAAGUGGUUUGUGCUGAGAGUGCUGUGUAACAUCAGAGUGAAACAGAAUUUCCCUGCUGCGGGACUCAUCUUCUUGGGACCUGAGUAUCCAAACUCCUCACUGAAUAGAAGCUGAAGUCCCAGCACGGGGCUCUUCUUCUCCACUGUACUGCCAUUGACCACAUGUGACUGAAACCAAGAAAAGUGAAAAGCCAGAUAAUGGGGACUGCUGGUAAUUCAACUUGUGGAGGUCAAGAGCUGCUGCCGAAAGCAUGGGGCCAGGGACUCUGCCACCUGGUCCUUGGAACUGCACAGGGAACCCUUUGGAGGCACAGUCUGUGAAACGGAGGCGAACACCACACACCUCACAGGAGCAUAAAGAUUAAGCCCACUGCUGCUGCCUACUGGAGGUGAGAGGCCCUCCAGCCCACAUUCACAGAUGCCAGCUCUGGUUCCUGCCACGGCCCUACAUCACUGCCUGCAAUGCCCCGGUGCCACCAC
Molossus molossus (Pallas's mastiff bat) is the source of this 1164-nucleotide RNA transcript. It is a transcript of the gene named MKRN2 opposite strand, with no coding region annotated. The transcript has 7 exons. Lineage: Eukaryota; Metazoa; Chordata; Mammalia; Chiroptera; Molossidae. The record is from RefSeq and is a predicted model, not a curated record.